RNAcentral lists this ribosomal RNA (397 nucleotides) under uncultured Bacteroides sp. Its description in RNAcentral is "bacterial SSU rRNA". It matches the Rfam family "Bacterial small subunit ribosomal RNA", at positions 355 to 749 of the family's 1533-position model. The record is from RNAcentral. Lineage: Bacteria; Pseudomonadati; Bacteroidota; Bacteroidia; Bacteroidales; Bacteroidaceae.
UGAGGAAUAUUGGUCAAUGGGCGAGAGCCUGAACCAGCCAAGUAGCGUGAAGGAUGACUGCCCUAUGGGUUGUAAACUUCUUUUAUAAAGGAAUAAAGUCGGGUAUGGAUACCCGUUUGCAUGUACUUUAUGAAUAAGGAUCGGCUAACUCCGUGCCAGCAGCCGCGGUAAUACGGAGGAUCCGAGCGUUAUCCGGAUUUAUUGGGUUUAAAGGGAGCGUAGAUGGAUGUUUAAGUCAGUUGUGAAAGUUUGCGGCUCAACCGUAAAAUUGCAGUUGAUACUGGAUAUCUUGAGUGCAGUUGAGGCAGGCGGAAUUCGUGGUGUAGCGGUGAAAUGCUUAGAUAUCACGAAGAACUCCGAUUGCGAAGGCAGCCUGCUAAGCUGCAACUGACAUUGA